Molecule: unclassified non-coding RNA, 418 nt
Filed under: Psychotria hanta
Lineage: Eukaryota; Viridiplantae; Streptophyta; Magnoliopsida; Gentianales; Rubiaceae
Description: partial external transcribed spacer
Source: RNAcentral
GCAGGAUCAAACAGGUAGCAUUCCUCAGGGACAUCGAGCCGCGGGACGUAAAACAUCCGCGCGACGUCGAGCGUCUAUCGAACGGGGCGUGUAAUGCCGAUUCGUGGGCGAAUAUAGAGGUCGAAGACCCCUUGCCCGCAGUGUUUUCCGCAUCCCGGAAGUCUAGCUACGAUCGUGGGCCGCGAAUGCAUAGCAUUUUGCAUGCACAUCGGAACACAAAUUUCGCUUCGAGGAUCCCCCGCAGCCGCACCGUGUUAACGGGCAGCUAUGGGAGAAAUUCGUAAAGAUUGCCCCCACAAUUCCAUCGACGUAGGUAUGCAGCACAGGAAACCAACGACUCGGCCAAGGCAUAAGAGCUCUUGCGCCAACAACUGAAGAGGAACGCACGAAAGGACGUCGCUACCCGAGUAGGGAUCCA